GGCCUGGAAAGAGGAUUUGAUUGAACAGGCUUAAGAAAAAAUUGGUGGUAGGAAUACUUGGAUAAAUGGCUGCUUACAGUUUUUAACCAUUUUAAUCGACUUUCAUUUACUUUUUUACUUAAUUAUUAAAUGCACAAUAUAUGGACAUGUUUGUGAAUAUGCAAAAACAUACGUGGUUUGGUAUAACAGGUCAAGUCUCAGUGGUCCGGUGAUGCUGUGACACCCAAGAGUACAUCAUCUGAAGGAGCACAAAAGUAAUAGCAAUAAUGUAACAGCUCAUCAUCUUAUAUGCUUAAAGAAAAACUAGCCUGUAAGUAUCCCGUAAAUGAAAACAACAUACAGUACAUAUUUGCAAAAAAAGUAUGAAAUACAAUUUCUCAUCAGUGAAUAAUGUGG
RNAcentral lists this long non-coding RNA (396 nucleotides) under Fukomys damarensis (Damara mole-rat). RNAcentral describes it as "lncRNA (ENSFDAG00000028249.1)". The record is from RNAcentral. Lineage: Eukaryota; Metazoa; Chordata; Mammalia; Rodentia; Bathyergidae.